AUUGAACGCUGGCGGCAGGCCUAACACAUGCCAGUCGAGCGGAUGAAGGGAGCUUGCUCCUGGAUUCAGCGGCGGACGGGUGAGUAAUGCCUAGGAAUCUGCCUGGUAGUGGGGGAUAACGUCCGGAAACGGGCGCUAAUACCGCAUACGUCCUGUGGGAGAAAGUGGGGGAUCUUCGGACCUCACGCUAUCAGAUGAGCCUAGGUCGGAUUAGCUAGUUGGUGGGGUAAAGGCCUACCAAGGCGACGAUCCGUAACUGGUCUGAGAGGAUGAUCAGUCACACUGGAACUGAGACACGGUCCAGACUCCUACGGGAGGCAGCAGUGGGGAAUAUUGGACCAUGGGCGAAAGCCUGAUCCAGCCAUGCCGCGUGUGUGAAGAAGGUCUUCGGAUUGUAAAGCACUUUAAGUUGGGAGGAAGGGCAGUAAGUUAAUACCUUGCUGUUUUGACGUUACCAACAGAAUAAGCACCGGCUAACUUCGUG
Molecule: ribosomal RNA, 484 nt
Filed under: uncultured bacterium
Lineage: Bacteria
Description: partial 16S ribosomal RNA
Rfam family: Bacterial small subunit ribosomal RNA
Source: RNAcentral